UACGGAGGGUGCGAGGCGUUGUCCGGAAUUAUUGGGCGUAAAGGGCUCGUAGGCGGUUUGUCACGUCGGGAGUGAAAAACUCGGGGCUUAAGCCCCGAACGCCUGCUUUCCGAAUACGGGCAGACUAGAGGUAUGCAGGGGAGAACGGAAUUCCUGGUGUAGCGGUAGAAAUGCGCAGAUAUCGAGAGGAACACCGGUGGCGAAGGCAGCUCCACUAAGCCAUAACUGACGCUGAUGCACGAAAGCGUGGGGAGCAAACAGG
This 262-nucleotide ribosomal RNA is filed under the name uncultured bacterium. RNAcentral's name for it is "partial 16S ribosomal RNA". It matches the Rfam family "Bacterial small subunit ribosomal RNA", at positions 524 to 776 of the family's 1533-position model. The record is from RNAcentral.